Molecule: non-coding RNA, 90 nt
Filed under: Streptomyces sp.
Lineage: Bacteria; Bacillati; Actinomycetota; Actinomycetes; Kitasatosporales; Streptomycetaceae
Description: ZTP sequence
Rfam family: ZMP/ZTP riboswitch aptamer (pfl RNA motif)
About the family: Previously known as pfl RNA.
Source: RNAcentral
GCCGCGGGCCGUGACUGGCGCGCUGGGAUGGGACCGACCAUCGGGGAGCGGCCUGUACGUCAGCGAGUGCCGUGCGCCUGGGCCGAACCG